This 255-nucleotide ribosomal RNA is filed under the name uncultured bacterium. RNAcentral's name for it is "partial 16S ribosomal RNA". It matches the Rfam family "Bacterial small subunit ribosomal RNA", at positions 1066 to 1320 of the family's 1533-position model. The record is from RNAcentral.
CGUGAGAUGUUGGGUUAAGUCCCGCAACGAGCGCAACCCUUGUCUUCUGUUGCCAUCAGGUUAUGCUGGGCACUCUGAAGAGACUGCCGGUGAUAAACCGGAGGAAGGUGGGGAUGACGUCAAGUCAGCAUGGCCUUUAUGUCUGGGGCUACACACGUGCUACAAUGGCCGGUACAAACCGUCGCGAUACCGCAAGGUGGAGCUAAUCGGAGAAAGCCGGUCUCAGUUCGGAUAGCAGGCUGCAACUCGCCUGCU